RNAcentral lists this ribosomal RNA (451 nucleotides) under uncultured bacterium. RNAcentral's name for it is "partial 16S ribosomal RNA". It matches the Rfam family "Bacterial small subunit ribosomal RNA", at positions 29 to 523 of the family's 1533-position model. The record is from RNAcentral.
AACGAACGCUGGCGGCAGGCCUAAUACAUGCAAGUCGAACGGAUGUAGCAAUACAUUAGUGGCGCACGGGUGCCUAACGCGUGGGAACAUACCCUUGAGUAAGGAAUAAUUUCUGGAAACGGACACCAAUACCUUAUAUGGACUUCGGUCCAAAGAUUCAUCGCUCAAGGAUUGGCCCGCGUCUGAUUAGCUAGUUGGUGAGGUAACGGCUCACCAAGGCGACGAUCAGUAGCUGGUCUGAGAGGAUGCUCAGCCACACUGGGACUGAGACACGGCCCAGACUCCUACGGGAGGCAGCAGUAAGGAAUAUUGGACAAUGGGGGAAACCCUGAUCCAGCCAUGCCGCGUGAGUGAAGAAGGCCUUAGGGUUGUAAAGCUCUUUCAAUAGUGAAGAUAAUGACGGUAGCUAUAGAAGAAGCCCCGGCUAAAUUCGUGCCAGCCGCCGCGGUAA